UAUGCAUUUAUGACCACAUUAAAAAAAAAAAAAAAAAAGUAGUAAUGAUAUCAUUAUUAUUAUAUAUAACAUGUGUGUUUUGAC
Molecule: non-coding RNA, 84 nt
Filed under: Heterosigma akashiwo
Lineage: Eukaryota; Raphidophyceae; Chattonellales; Chattonellaceae
Source: RNAcentral